This 175-nucleotide non-coding RNA is filed under the name Triticum urartu. RNAcentral describes it as "Bacterial large subunit ribosomal RNA". It matches the Rfam family "Bacterial large subunit ribosomal RNA", at positions 46 to 232 of the family's 2925-position model. The record is from Rfam by way of RNAcentral. Lineage: Eukaryota; Viridiplantae; Streptophyta; Magnoliopsida; Poales; Poaceae.
ACGAGGAAGGGCGUAGCGAGCGACGAAAUGCUUUGGAGAGUUGAAAAUAAGCAUAGAUCCGGAGAUUCUCAAAUGGGUCAACCUUUUAAACCGCCUGCUGAAUCCAUGAGCAGGAAAGAGACAACCUGGCGAACUGAACCAUGCUACAUUGUUUGUUGUACUUGAUUUGAAAUUG